RNAcentral lists this ribosomal RNA (253 nucleotides) under uncultured bacterium. RNAcentral's name for it is "partial 16S ribosomal RNA". It matches the Rfam family "Bacterial small subunit ribosomal RNA", at positions 524 to 776 of the family's 1533-position model. The record is from RNAcentral.
UACAGGGGGGGCAAGCGUUGUUCGGAAUUACUGGGCGUAAAGGGCGCGUAGGCGGCCUCCUAAGUCAGACGUGAAAUCCCCCGGCUUAACCUGGGAACUGCGUCUGAUACUGGGAGGCUAGAGUGCGGGAGAGGGAUGCGGAAUUCCAGGUGUAGCGGUGAAAUGCGUAGAUAUCUGGAGGAACACCGGUGGCGAAGGCGGCAUCCUGGACCGACACUGACGCUGAGGCGCGAAAGCUAGGGUAGCAAACGGG